UUUUCUUGUAGAUUAUUAUUAUUAUUAUUAUUAUUAUUGAAUUACUAUGCGUGUGUUAACUACUUGUAACACAUAUUUCAAUAAUAUUCUCAUUCACAGUGUAGUGGUUCUUGAGGCUUUGACUGUUUACUUUGAAAUAGCGACAAAAAUAUCUCAUUUCUGCGCCAGUUACUGUUUCUAAUAGUUAACCACAGCAUGUUUAUAAGUUUCACCAUAAUAUUCUGGUGGUACCUGCUCUAAUUGCAUUAAAUUAUGGGCAACAAGUGACGUUAUAGUGGAUGGACGGAUUUAUUUGAUUUAUCUUGUAGUGUUAUCUACAUCGAAAAGUUUAGCCAUAUUUCGACAAAAACAUCACUUUUUGUUAUCAGUGUACACAGAAAUCACUGCUGUCUAUAGCUUGUUUUAGAAAAAAUAAAGCUAGUAUGGGCUAUUUCACGUAAGUUAAACGCAGUUAGAAGGGGGCGGGACACAGCAGACGAAGGCCUUGACUAAAGAAAACAUGGCGGACAGAACUUCAAUUUGCUUCAAACAUGGCGGACCUAUAGCCACUCUAUGAAAUUUUAACUCGUUGGUAACGACGGCAAAUACUGUGGCUACUGUGAUUCGAAGGAAGAGAUCAAAAGACUACAGAAUAGUCUUAAGUGCAUAGGGUAUUCAUACUCGGUAAGGAGCAGCCACCAUCGCCAAAAAUUGCAUGAAACCGCCACCAGUAACCCACGAAUCUUCUUCCAGCAAUUUCAGGGUAAAGUUGAAAUCCCAUUUAUGGGAUAUCCGUUUUCGGUGGAAUAUUCCAGCUACCAACAAUGCACCCUGGGCCCCUAAUAUUACAGUAAAAAGGAGACUGUUGUUCCAAGUCACCUGGCUGACCAUGUUAACCCAGCAAAAAAGAGAUUGUUGAUUAUGGAUACGAAAAAGAGCGAUUGCCCUGCCACUUUUUCAAUUAAAUGUGUUAAAGUGUAUCCAGGCUAUUCUGUUCAAUCAGUAGAUGAUCGUGAAAUUAAAAAGAAAGUUGUCCACAGUUUAAAACAGGCUUUGGAGGCAGCCAAUAAGCCUGAAAGUGUUCUUCGCUUUUAUGUGAGGGCGUCACCACCAGACCACCAUACCCACAGCACAGAAAGCAUAAAAAGCAAGUGGAGACAUACAUCCCUUGCUAGCUGUGGAAAUAGCAAAAGUUGUUGAAGAUGGAACUACAUCUGUGAGAAUAAUAAAGUUGCAUCUUGAAAGAUUUGUGAACAUAACCUUCACUGGACCACACAAGCCAUAUAAUAUGAACACUACAUUUUACCCCAAACAUCUCACAAUAUAUAGUCAUGUAUACAGGGCCCUUAAGAAAUGGAAGAAAAGUGUGUUUGACCAAGAGGCUUUGCAAAUGCAGAUUAAUGAGUGGCAGAAAGAAUAUAGAGGUGACAAUAUUUUUUUCAGACCUUUUUCAGAUGUUGAUGGAGAAAUACAGCCAUUGCUGUUUUGUUACGAGAGUGCAUGGCAGAAGGAUAUGUUAAAAAAAUAUGGAGAUGUAUGUUUGCUUGAUGCCACCUACAAAACAACAAAAUAUGACAUUCCUUUAUUUUUUGUUACAGUAAAGGCAAACAGAUGCUGUUUAGUGGUAGGUUUUUUCUUUAUUCAGGUAGAAGAUACAAGGUCAAUUGCUGAAGCGCUACUUGUUUUCAAGAGGUGGAAUACAGACUUCAACCCAACCUACUGGGUUACUGAUUUCUCAGAGUCCGAGAUAGCAGCAGUUAAAGAAAUAUUUCCAUUUUCAAAAGUGUACUUGUGUUCAUUUCACAGGGAACAGGCUUGGGGGCGAUGAGUUAAAAAGGGAGGGAAUCUAACUGUAGGAACUGAUAAGGAGUCUGUUCUGGAGCUUGUGGCGCUAUGUUGCAGCGUCUCCAUCUGAGGAACAGUUCAGACUCAAUGUUGAAAUGUUAGAGACUCAUGAGGUUUUUCGUAGGAACCCCAAGCCACUUAUUUAUUUUAAAAAUCAAUGGCUCUCAGUUGCUGAAAAGUGGGCGAGAGCUUUCGAGAAUAUUGGCAUAUUUGCCAAUAUUAGAACCACAAACGGUGCUGAAACAAUGAACAAGAAGGUCAAAAAGUCUUUUCUGAACUAUGACACAGACAAAACAUUAACAGGAGUUGUUAAGGUAUUAGUAAAUAGUUUCAUUCCUGGCCUCAUGAAAAAGUAUUGCCAAAUGAAUUCUGUUAUUAGAAAGAACAAUGAAGUUGUACCUGCAUUUUUGCAUGGAAAGACAUAGGAAAAUAUCACACACGUGUGGAAACGAUAUUCUUCUGCAGAAGAAAGCUUCAGUAAAGAGUCGGUGUCAGUAAUAAGUGAGGGUGUUUUUUCCGUGAAAAGCGACACUUCAAAAGAUCUUAGGUAUACUGUAAACUUUGCGGAACCAAGUUGUACAUGUGAAGAUUACCAAAAGCACAAAUAUAUGUGUAAACAUUUUUGUGCCAUCUUUAUUUUCUAUCCUCAAUGGGGUUUUGACAAAGUAAAUGAAAAGGACAGAAAUAGCCCGUUAAUUUGUUUGGAUAGGACAUAUGGGUAUGGUGCAAGUGGCAGCUGUAUUUCACAGACUGAUGCUGCACUGCGUUAAUUAGAUGAGUCCAGCAGUGAUGAUGCUAUGAAUGAAGAGCAUAACAUUCCUGAACCAUCAGCUUCUCCUUCAUCUCUGUUUCGAGAGGCAAGAGAGAGACGUCGGAAUAUUAUAACUCUCACAUACAGUUGUGACAAUGACACGAUAAAAAAGUGUUAGAGGCACUUAAAAAUGUGGAACAUAUUGGAAGGUUGUCGAACCCUACAGAAAAUCGUCUUCCUUUAGCAGCGACAUCAUCUUCAAAAAUGUAGGAACACUCAUUUAAAUGGAGGCAGAAUUUGUGAAACACGUAUUUGCCCUUUUGCUUUUCUGGAUGUUCAUAUAGAUUUAAAAAUGAAAUGGAUUGAUCAGAGUAUGGUGAGUUAAGUGUCUACAGCAAUCACUUACAUUGGGAGAUUUUUCAGUUUUACAUUAAAAUAUGCGGUAGUACAGCAAAUUUAAAACUGGAAGAACUUCCCAACCAAAAUGAAAGUCAUGGUUACACAACUUGCCAUACCCUCAUAAAUACAUUUUACCAUCAAUAGUUAAAGUAGAUACCCAACUGUGUGCUGAUUGUGCUGCUACUGAUACUUUUUUGUUAAAUGGUAUUGGUAGCAUGAAGCAAGACUGGAAGUACCAAAAAGCUCUUCUUUAUUUCUUAUAACAAUAAUAAUAAUUAUUAUUAUUACACUUUAUUACAAACAUUGUCAGAGUUAUUGGAGAAAUACAUAAUAGGUGGUACCAAUGGUCAUUACUGAAGGUUGAUACAAGAGACGUAAAACUCUGAAUGGUUCCUAAAAAGCAGAUCUGAUCAAAUUUUACAGAAAGCUACAUGUAAAUAUACAGGAGUAAAAACUGUCACCACUGUUGGCAUGAGAGUUUCCUUAAUGCUAUAGCUAAGACUUUGUAUGUAGUGUUUGACAAUUCAGUAUGGUACUUUUCCAGUAAUGGGUAAUGAAAAUGUCAUGGCGCCUGUGCAGAAGUGCCUAUUUCAUAUUAGAGUUAGCGACCCAUGUGUGCACCUGUUUAAUGUUAAAAAGUGUUGUUUUUAUAUAUGUUCGAUCAGAAGUUAAACAACAACACUUUUCAUGUAAAACAGAUGGACACGUGUGUAUGUAAUUGUAACAGGAAACAGAUACAUAUGCACAUGUGCCAUGUUCAUUUCCCAUUACUGAAAAAUGACUGACCAUUCUAACUAAAUUUUAUGUAGGAUUUAUGUAAAAAUUAGUAAUGUUUACAGGGCUUUCUUGUCUCUUUUGCAACAAGUGAGGGUUUGGCACUCGUUUAUGUUCCACUACAGUUUCCACACAAAAUACUCAAACUUACUACUUGCACUGAUUCAGUACAAAAGUCAAUUUCUAAAGCAUAUGACACCAUGGCAUUGUUGUAUCUUUCUGUGCAGGCUCAGGGAUAUAUGUUUCAAUGGUAGGAUUUUUCUGGCAGUCUGGAAUGAGGUUAGAGAGAAAACUAUUGCUAAGACCAUAAAUCCAGUAAUGUUUCAACACCAUUUGUGUGUGUGUGUGUGUGUGUGUGUGUGUGUGUGUGUGUGUGUGUGUGUGUGUGUGUGACUACUUCCAGAAGCAGUUCCUCAACCAUUUAGUCUUGUGGAUCUCACACACACACACACACACACACACACACACACACACACAUUGAUAUUCUUUAAUUAUCCUUCAAGAUGCAGCUGGCUAGUAGUACGCAUCGCAACAUAAAAAAUAAUAUAUUCCCCACAGACAAGAAUUAGAUAUGAACCAACAAAAUUUCAUGCAAGGAUAUUGCCAAAAUUUGUGCCCCGUUAAGUUUUAAUGAUUCCGUAACAACAGAUGAUGUAACAUUUCACCACAAGAAGUAAUGCACUCCCAUUUUCUACAGUUAGAUAACCUGGUUCCUAAGACAGAAGUGUCAAGUGCGUCCAAGUGAAAUAAUGUAAAUAGCUUUUUCCAAAAGGGAAAUGCAUCCUUAAUAGUUUUUACCUUCAACUCUAAAAAACUGGCACCCAACCCAUUAACUGUGGAUGACGAUUGUUCCAUCUCUUGGAAAUUUGUAGAACUUCAUAAAUUGGCACUCAUACAGUCAACUUAAAAGGAGGGUCAAGGAAAAGAAAAAUCCAACCACUAAACACCACAUCUUUGCAUUGAGUGUCAGGCAAAACAUAGGAAAGUCAUAUUUUGUAUAUAUCUAGCAAAUUAACUUGAAGUGCUUUGUGUUACUGUUCUGUACUGCAUUGGUAUUGGGAUUCAGACUCAGCAAGGAAAAGGGUCACAUCCAUAGGUUCUGUUUGUGCUCAUUAAUCUGAAUCUGUAUUAAAUUUUCUUCACAUUGCAAAUUGUCUUGUCUGUGAAGUAAAACUUCGUGUGGUCAUGGUGUCACUUGAUUUCUCUAGUGAAGUCAACGGGACUAAGUACAUUCUGUAAGCUUACGUGGAUUUGGUUUAUGUAGCUAAGUGGUACUUACUAUUUAAAAUUUGAUAAUCUUGUAACUGUUAAACACAUAAGAAUUUUUUUGUACUUAUUACUAUAGACUAUUUUUGUGUAAAUAAACUCUUAAAAAACUACAAAUGUAUUUGUUUUUGUAAAUAAAGUGGCAUGUCUCACACCAUAAUAAAUUGUACAGAUGAGCAGUGUAACAUCUGAAAUUUGUGUUUU
Long non-coding RNA from Schistocerca serialis cubense, 5218 nucleotides. RefSeq lists it as uncharacterized. The transcript is spliced from 4 exons. Lineage: Eukaryota; Metazoa; Arthropoda; Insecta; Orthoptera; Acrididae. The record is from RefSeq and is a predicted model, not a curated record.